RNAcentral lists this ribosomal RNA (1493 nucleotides) under uncultured prokaryote. RNAcentral describes it as "partial 16S ribosomal RNA". It matches the Rfam family "Bacterial small subunit ribosomal RNA". The record is from RNAcentral.
AGAGUUUUGAUCCUGGCUCAGAAUGAACGCUGGCGGCGUGCUUAACACAUGCAAGUCGAACGAGAAAGGGAUUGCUUGCAAUCCUGAGUAGAGUGGCGCACGGGUGAGUAACACGUAGAUAAUCUACCUUCGAUUUUGGGAUAACCAUCCGAAAGGAUGGCUAAUACCGGAUAAGGUUUUAAUACGCAAGUAUAAAGAUGAAAGUAUGCCUCUUCUUGAAAGCAUAUGAUUGGAGAUGAGUCUGCGGAACAUUAGCUUGUUGGUGGGGUAAAAGCCUACCAAGGCAAAGAUGUUUAGCUGGUCUGAGAGGAUGAUCAGCCACACUGGAACUGAGAUACGGUCCAGACUCCUACGGGAGGCAGCAGUGGGGAAUAUUGGACAAUGGGCGAAAGCCUGAUCCAGCAAUGCCGCGUGAGUGAAGAAGGCCUUCGGGUUGUAAAGCACUUUCAGUAGGGAAGAAAUGCCUGGAGUUAAUAGCUUCGGGUCUUGACGUCACCUACAGAAGAAGCACCGGCUAACUCCGUGCCAGCAGCCGCGGUAAUACGGAGGGUGCGAGCGUUAAUCGGAAUUACUGGGCGUAAAGCGCGCGUAGGCGGCUUGGUCAGUCGGAUGUGAAAGCCCCGGGCUUAACCUGGGAAUUGCAUUCGAUACUGCCGAGCUAGAGUAUGGGAGAGGGAAGUGGAAUUUCCGGUGUAGCGGUGAAAUGCGUAGAUAUCGGAAGGAACACCAGUGGCGAAGGCGGCUUCCUGGCCCAAUACUGACGCUCAGGUGCGAAAGCGUGGGGAGCAAACAGGAUUAGAUACCCUGGUAGUCCACGCCGUAAACGAUGAGAACUAGAUGUCGGGAGGGUUUACCUUUCGGUGUCGUAGCUAACGCGUUAAGUUCUCCGCCUGGGGAGUACGGCCGCAAGGGUUAAAACUCAAAUGAAUUGACGGGGGCCCGCACAAGCGGUGGAGCAUGUGGUUUAAUUCGAUGCAACGCGAAAAACCUUACCUACUCUUGACAUCCUCGGAACUUGUCAGAAAUGACUUGGUGCCUUCGGGAACUCGGUGACAGGUGCUGCAUGGCUGUCGUCAGCUCGUGUCGUGAGAUGUUGGGUUAAGUCCCGCAACGGGCGCAACCCCUAUCCUUAUUUGCCAUCAUUAAGUUGGGCACUAUAAGGAGACUGCCGGUGUUAAACUGGAGGAAGGUGGGGACGACGUCAAGUCAUCAUGGCCCUUAUGCCCAGGGCUACACACGUGCUACAAUGGAUGAUACAGAGGGUUGCCAACUCGCGAGAGGGAGCUAAUCUCAGAAAGUCAUCCUUAGUUCGGAUUGGAGUCUGCAAUUCGACUCCAUGAAGCCGGAAUCGCUAGUAAUCGCGGAUCAGCAUGCCGCGGUGAAUACGUUCUCGGGCCUUGUACACACCGCCCGUCACGCCACGAAAGUUGGCUGCACCAGAAGUCGUUGAGCUAACCCGCAAGGGGGGUAGGCACCUAAGGUAUGGCUGAUUG